GGGCCGUUAGCUCAGCUGGCAGAGCACCGGACUUUUAAUCCGGGUGUCGAAGGUUCGAAUCCUUCACGGCUCACCA
Molecule: transfer RNA, 76 nt
Filed under: Bacillota bacterium
Lineage: Bacteria; Bacillati; Bacillota
Description: tRNA-Lys
Rfam family: tRNA
About the family: Transfer RNA (tRNA) molecules are approximately 80 nucleotides in length. Their secondary structure includes four short double-helical elements and three loops (D, anti-codon, and T loops).
Source: RNAcentral